AGUCUGUAUUAACGAGAGUGUUGUGAGUAAAACCCAGGAGGUCAUUGUCUGGCCCUGGUGAGACCUCAGUUGGAGAACUGGGUGGGGAAAGGGCAUCACACUUUAGGAGAGAAGUGGCCAAAUUGGAGAGAGUCCAGAAAAAAACAACAAACAUGAUAAAAGGUUUAGAAACCCUGAUCUAUGAGGCCAGGUUAAAAAAAAAAGGGCACAUUGAGUCCUGAGAGAAGAAGACCGAGAGUGGGGACCUGAUAGUCUUCAAAUAUGUUACAAAGAGGACGAUGAUCAAUUGUUCUCUGGUCCUGCUGAAGGCAGGAGAAGAAGAAAUGGGAUUAAUCUUCAACAAGGGAGAUUGAGGGCAUGGGCUCGGGGAUCGAGGGGACCAAGGUGCUGAUGGCCAAAGGCAUGUCCUGCCUGACCUACAACUCCCUCUGCUUACCUGAUGACAUCCACGAGCGCGGGGUUGACUGCAUCCCCAACUACUACUACAGGGAUGAUGGGCUGAAGAUCUGGUCGGCCAUUGAGAGCUUCGUCUCCGGCAUCGUCAGACACUAUUACCGCAGCGACG
Long non-coding RNA from Mauremys reevesii (Reeves's turtle), 565 nucleotides. RefSeq lists it as uncharacterized. The transcript has 3 exons. NCBI's taxonomy places the organism in Eukaryota, Metazoa, Chordata, Testudines, Geoemydidae. The record is from RefSeq and is a predicted model, not a curated record.